This 393-nucleotide ribosomal RNA is filed under the name uncultured bacterium. RNAcentral's name for it is "partial 16S ribosomal RNA". It matches the Rfam family "Bacterial small subunit ribosomal RNA", at positions 523 to 918 of the family's 1533-position model. The record is from RNAcentral.
AUACGGAAGGUCCGGGCGUUAUCCGGAUUUAUUGGGUUUAAAGGGAGCGCAGGCUGAUGAUUAAGCGUGACGUGAAAUGUAGCCGCUCAACGGCUGAACUGCGUCGCGAACUGGUUAUCUUGAGUGAGUUCGAUGUUGGCGGAAUUCGUGGUGUAGCGGUGAAAUGCUUAGAUAUCACGAAGAACUCCGAUUGCGAAGGCAGCCAACAAGGCCUUUGCUGACGCUAAAGCUCGAAGGUGCGGGUAUCGAACAGGAUUAGAUACCCUGGUAGGCCGCACGGUAAACGAUGGAUGCCAGCUGUUUGCGAUAUCCUGUGAGCGGCCAAGAGAAAUCGUUAAGCAUCCCACCUGGGGAGUACGGCGGCAACGGUGAAACUCAAAUGAAUUGUCGGGG